GUCUACGGCCACACCUAGGCGAAAACACCAGUUCCCGUCCGAUCACUGCAGUAAAGUGAAAACGUCUGAGGGCCUCGUUAGUACUAUGGUUGGAGACAACAUGGGAAUCCGGGGUGCUGUAGGCU
This is a ribosomal RNA of Schizosaccharomyces cryophilus OY26, 125 nucleotides long. The record is from Rfam. NCBI's taxonomy places the organism in Eukaryota, Fungi, Ascomycota, Schizosaccharomycetes, Schizosaccharomycetales, Schizosaccharomycetaceae.